Long non-coding RNA from Dasypus novemcinctus (nine-banded armadillo), 2177 nucleotides. Lineage: Eukaryota; Metazoa; Chordata; Mammalia; Cingulata; Dasypodidae. The record is from Ensembl.
UCAGCACAUUUGUUGAAAAGUCUAUCCCUUUGUCUGUAGUUAUUUUUUUCUCUCUGUAGUUAUUUAAAUUUAGUUUCCUUUUCAUUGUAUUAGUAUUUGUCUCCCCCACUAGACUUUAAGCUCUAUAUAUCUGUUCUAAUUUAACCUGGGAUCUUCUCCACCCCUGGCUCCUCCUUCCAAGCAGAGAAAACAGAGCACGGGUUGCCUGUAAGCCAUUUAUUCAGAGACGUGACCCCAGAGUGCAGGAGUAGGGACUGGAGAAGGUGAAAUAGGAAGGCCAAAGGCUGGAAGCAGGUACCCUGAUGAGUUAUCUAAUUGGUCACCACCAGGGCUCCCUCUGGCCAGGACCUGCUGAGGAGCAGCGUGAGAUGCGCCUCAGAAUUGUCCCGAGGGUCAGAGAGGGGAGCAGAUGCCCACCAACUCCAGCCCCCGCUGGUCAACUUCCUCCGACCUCAAGAUCAGGAAGAAGCUGUGGGCAGAAGGCAAGAGCUGGUGGAGCAGUUAAGCCCAGGUGCUUCCACUUGCUCUGGGCUGGUUGCCACAGAGACGGCGGCGUAGAAGUGGAAAUAUGUAAAAAACAAAACAAAACAAAACAAAAAACUGGGAGGUAAAGACUGUAUCCAAGGAUCCCGUGGCUACCUUGGGCCCGCAGCCCUCGCCCUCGCCCUCGCCCUCGCCCGCCGACCGCAAAGCCCCCCGCGGCGUUGCCGGCUGCCGCUCCCACGCCCCCGCGCUGGGGAGCAAGGAGGAACCGACUUCUGGGAGCCUCGGUCACUCACCCCCGGCCCCCUCCUCUGGUUUCCUGGGUGACUUGGCCAGGCGCGCGUCCCGGCUCUCGGGAAGGCCACUGCUGGGUGCCCGCGCGGGACCGCCCCCGUCACCGAGCGGCUUCCGGUCCAGUCAGCCCGGGCGAAGCCGCUCGCGGAGAUGAGAGCGGCAGGAAAUCAAGGUCACGGCUCCGGACACAAUGGGGCCAUUGUCGGCCUCCGGUCAGUUGACUUUCAAACAGCAGUUCCCCAUCCACCCUCGCUCCUUCUCCCCACCCCCGGCCCGAGCCACGAAGGCACCCAAACCCGCUGCCGCCCUGUAACCUCUGUCUGAGGAAGCAGCAAUCUGGCUCCCACCACGGACGGGGGAGGCUGGACCGCCCUUUGCAUUGUCUAUUUCGUCCACCAGGUGGCGACAGAGCACCGCAUUUCUGAGCGCGGGGAGGGCGGCAAAGGGUCGGCUGUUCAAUCAUUGACCCUACCCUUCCCGAUUGAUCCAAAAGAAACAAAAAAUCAAGUAAGAUUAUACUUUCCCCCACCCCUUACUCUGAGAUCCCCGGAAAUCUGGACUCUCAGGGGCUCUUCUCUCAGCAAACGGCAAAAUGGCCGUGGAUUGCUGCACUUUUCCUUCUCUUGAUGGAGAGGUUAACCGAGGGGAAGGGGCAAGCUCUUUGCUCAGCAGGUCACAGCAGGUGGAACCUCUCUGGUCUGGAUAAUCGAUUUCCUGGUUGAUUGGUUAUGUUACUGUAUAAAUGUCAUCUCUGUAAAGCCUCCCCUGGUCCCCCACGCACCACCCAGUCUAAAGUAUGUCCUCCCUGUUGUUCUUCCUCAGUGCCGGCUGUUUUGCCUCAGCGUAUCACAAUUUGUACUUAGCCACAUAUUUGUUUGAUUGUUUUGCACUAAGAUAUAUGCUCCAGGAAAGCAGGGACGGGAUCUGUUUUUACUCACCAGUGCAUCUUUAGUGCCUAGUAUAGUACCUGGCAUAUAGUAGGUGUUCCAAAAAAUAUGUCAGCAAAACGAAUGCAUGAGUGCACUUGAGGAAUGGGGUGGGGCCUCGGGUUCCGGAGAAUUCGGCUGUGUGAAUACAGGUAGUGCCUGGAUCCAUCUGGCAGGCCCGAAGUUUCCCCGGAGGGGUGGGCCCUGGAGGUGGAAGAGCUUUGGGUUGAGACGUCUGGUUCUGGCCUCUGGGCCCCUGGUGCACAGUCUCACCUCUCCCUGCCCCCUCACGGGCCGGGGCAGCUUGGUACGCAUCCCUUUCUGAGCGUCAUUCUCCUGGCACUACCUGCUAAGGCCACCGGGAGGAUCCCUAGAGUUAAUGCCUGGAAGGCGCUGGGCACUGGGCCUGGCACCUGGUAAGCCCUGGUGAGUGCUGGCCAUUGUGAUUGCUGCUGCUGGGGGAGGGGGGGGGAA